GUAGUCGUGGCCAAGUGGUUAAGGCGAUUGACUAGAAAUCCAUUGGGGUCUCUACCUGCAGGUUCAAGUCCUGCUAACUAUA
RNAcentral lists this transfer RNA (82 nucleotides) under Danio rerio (zebrafish). It matches the Rfam family "tRNA". From Rfam's summary of the family: Transfer RNA (tRNA) molecules are approximately 80 nucleotides in length. Their secondary structure includes four short double-helical elements and three loops (D, anti-codon, and T loops). The record is from Rfam by way of RNAcentral. Lineage: Eukaryota; Metazoa; Chordata; Actinopteri; Cypriniformes; Danionidae.